RNAcentral lists this transfer RNA (72 nucleotides) under Camelus bactrianus (Bactrian camel). It matches the Rfam family "tRNA". Rfam says of the family: Transfer RNA (tRNA) molecules are approximately 80 nucleotides in length. Their secondary structure includes four short double-helical elements and three loops (D, anti-codon, and T loops). The record is from Rfam by way of RNAcentral. RNAcentral also lists the same sequence under 2 other names. Lineage: Eukaryota; Metazoa; Chordata; Mammalia; Artiodactyla; Camelidae.
GAGGGUAUAGGUCAGUGGUAGUGCACCUGCUUAGUAUGCACGAGGUCUUGGGUUCAAUCCCCAGUACCUCCA